This 261-nucleotide long non-coding RNA is filed under the name Chinchilla lanigera (long-tailed chinchilla). RNAcentral describes it as "lncRNA (ENSCLAG00000028467.1)". The record is from RNAcentral. Lineage: Eukaryota; Metazoa; Chordata; Mammalia; Rodentia; Chinchillidae.
GCCAUGGGACCCCGGAACUAACAGUCUCACCACAUGCCCUUCUUCAUCUCCCUGUGUCCUUACCGGUGAUCCAGACCAGUAGCAGCCCCAGGAGCUGAAGAGGGAGCCUCAUUUCGAGAAAUUGAACUGAAGAAUCCUGAUCAGUGAAGGCAAACUGGAGACGAACAACUCUAUUCAAGGCAAGAGGGAAAGAAAAAAAAAAACUGUGCCUUAUAAUGGAUAUGAAAUUUCUGGUAAGUAGAUUUUGAAAUUGGUGAAUAU